GGACUACAGGGGUAUCUAAUCCCGUUCGCUACCCUAGCUUUCGUGUGUGAGCGUCAGAUGUUGGCCAGUGCGCUGCCUUCGCCUUUGGUGUUCCCCACGAUAUCAACGGAUUUCACCCCUACACCGUGAGUUCCACGCACCUCUCCAACCCUCUAGUCAUGCCGUUUCACUCGCGGGCCUGAAGUUGAGCUCCAGGAUUUUACGAAUGACUAACAUGACCGCCUUGACACCCUUUACGCCCAGUGAUUCCGGAUAAUGCUUGGGGCCUCUGUAUUACCGCGGCUGCUGGCAC
RNAcentral lists this ribosomal RNA (292 nucleotides) under uncultured bacterium. RNAcentral's name for it is "partial 16S ribosomal RNA". The record is from RNAcentral.